Molecule: ribosomal RNA, 497 nt
Filed under: uncultured bacterium
Lineage: Bacteria
Description: partial 16S ribosomal RNA
Rfam family: Bacterial small subunit ribosomal RNA
Source: RNAcentral
GAUGAACGCUGGCGGCGUGCCUAAUACAUGCAAGUCGAGCGAACGGACGAGAAGCUUGCUUCUCUGAUGUUAGCGGCGGACGGGUGAGUAACACGUGGAUAACCUACCUAUAAGACUGGGAUAACUUCGGGAAACCGGAGCUAAUACCGGAUGAUAUUUUGAACCGCAUGGUUCAAAAGUGAAAGACGGUCUUGCUGUCACUUAUAGAUGGAUCCGCGCUGCAUUAGCUAGUUGGUAAGGUAACGGCUUACCAAGGCAACGAUGCAUAGCCGACCUGAGAGGGUGAUCGGCCACCCUGGAACUGAGACACGGUCCAGACUCCUACGGUAGGCAGCAGUAGGGAAUCUUCCGCAAUGGGCGAAAGCCUGACGGAGCAACGCCGCGUGAGUGAUGAAGGUCUUCGGACCGUAAAACUCUGUUAUUAGGGAAGAACAUAUGUGUAAGUAACUGUGCACAUCUUGACGGUACCUAAUCAGAAAGCCACGGCUAACUACGUG